This 365-nucleotide ribosomal RNA is filed under the name Metabalta aff. tuberculata MZSP 73023. RNAcentral describes it as "partial small subunit ribosomal RNA". The record is from RNAcentral. Lineage: Eukaryota; Metazoa; Arthropoda; Arachnida; Opiliones; Gonyleptidae.
UAGAUACCCUAGUAUUAAUAUUGAUUUUAAUUAGUAAGUAAAUAAAAAUUAAAAAUUUUGGCGGUUAUUUUUGAAUUUAGAGAAGCUUGUCAGUAAUAAGUAAUUACUCUAUAGAUUUUAGUUAAAUAAAAAAGUUCAUUCAUCUCCAUUAUUAAAGUAGAUUAAUUUAAUUAAUUGAAGUAGGUCAAGAUGUGAUAAAUUUUAAUUUAGGAUUAGCUGUGGUAUAUAAAUAUAAAUUAUUUUUAAGGAGAUUUUAAAAAAAUUAAUUUAAUUGUAAUAGUAAUUAGAAAAUUAUUAUGAAUUUUUAAAAUAGUGUAUAGAUUGCCCGUCACUUCUGUCGUUAAGAUGGAAUAAGUCGUAACAAA